Molecule: ribosomal RNA, 834 nt
Filed under: Microbispora sp. IM-7541
Lineage: Bacteria; Bacillati; Actinomycetota; Actinomycetes; Streptosporangiales; Streptosporangiaceae
Description: bacterial SSU rRNA
Rfam family: Bacterial small subunit ribosomal RNA
Source: RNAcentral
GGCGGCGUGCUUAACACAUGCAAGUCGAGCGGAAAGGCCCUUCGGGGGUACUCGAGCGGCGAACGGGUGAGUAACACGUGAGUAACCUGCCCCUGACUCUGGGAUAAGCCUGGGAAACCGGGUCUAAUACCGGAUACGACCAUUUCUCGCAUGGGAUGGUGGUGGAAAGUUUUUUCGGUUGGGGAUGGGCUCGCGGCCUAUCAGCUUGUUGGUGGGGUGAUGGCCUACCAAGGCGACGACGGGUAGCCGGCCUGAGAGGGCGACCGGCCACACUGGGACUGAGACACGGCCCAGACUCCUACGGGAGGCAGCAGUGGGGAAUAUUGCGCAAUGGGCGGAAGCCUGACGCAGCGACGCCGCGUGGGGGAUGACGGCCUUCGGGUUGUAAACCUCUUUCAGCAGGGACGAAGUUGACGUGUACCUGUAGAAGAAGCGCCGGCUAACUACGUGCCAGCAGCCGCGGUAAUACGUAGGGCGCGAGCGUUGUCCGGAAUUAUUGGGCGUAAAGAGCUCGUAGGUGGCUUGUCGCGUCUGCCGUGAAAGCCCGUGGCUUAACUACGGGUCUGCGGUGGAUACGGGCAGGCUAGAGGCUGGUAGGGGCAAGCGGAAUUCCUGGUGUAGCGGUGAAAUGCGCAGAUAUCAGGAGGAACACCGGUGGCGAAGGCGGCUUGCUGGGCCAGUUCUGACGCUGAGGAGCGAAAGCGUGGGGAGCGAACAGGAUUAGAUACCCCUGGUAGUCCACGCUGUAAACGUUGGGCGCUAGGUGUGGGGGUCUUCCACGACUUCUGUGCCGUAGCUAACGCAUUAAGCGCCCCGCCUGGGGAGUACGGCCGC